GGCGGAGGUCUUAACGUUGACGUUAUUGUGUUGAUGUUGGUUGGCGGAGGUCUUAACGUUGACGUUAUUGUGUUGAUGUUAGUUGGCGGAGGUCUUAACGUUGACGUUAUUGUGUUGAUGUUAGUUGGCGGAGGUCUUAACGUUGACGUUAUUGUGUUGAUGUUGGCGGAGGUCUUAACGUUGACGUUAUUGUGUUGAUGUUGGUUGGCGGAGGUCUUAACGUCGACGUUAUUGUGUUGACGUUAGUUGGCGGAGGUCUUAACGUUGACGUUAUUGUGUUGAUGUUAGUUGGCGGAGGUCUUAACGUUGACGUUAUUGUGUUGAUGUUGGCGGAGGUCUUAAUGUUGAUGUUAUUGUGUUGAUGUUGGCGGAGGUCUUAACGUUGACGUUAUUGUGUUGAUGUUAGUUGGCGGAGGUCUUAACGUUGACGUUAUUGUGUUGAUGAUAGUUGGCGGGGGCCUUAACGUUGAUGUUAUUGUGUUGAUGUAUUUCUAAUACUUUAUAAAACUUUCUGGUUGAUGUUUUCUAAGACCCCUAUUCCAUCUGUUUAUCCAGAAAUCAAAGCCUUUCUCAUGCCUAUGGUUCCUUUUCGAUUGAAAUUCCUGUGUUGUGUAGUUUUAGUGUGUUAUAGACCUUAUUGUGUUUGACUUCAUCUUUUUCAUUGUAUUAUUAAGCAAUGAGGUCCGAGAGGGUGUGGUAUAUGGCCAAUAUACCACGGCUCAGGGCUGUUUCUAGGCACGACUCAUCGAGGUGCCUUGUUGCUAUUACAAACUGGUUACCGAUGUAAUUAUGGGGCAGCAGGUAGCCUGGUGGUAAGAGCGUUGGGCUAGUAACCGGAAGGUUGCAAGAUUGAAUCCCAGAGCUGACAAGGUAAAAAUGUGUCGUUCUGCCCCUGAACAAGGCAGUUAACCCAGUGUUCCCCUGAACAACGCAGUUAACCCACUGUUCCCCUGAACAAGGCAGUUAAUCCACUGUUCCCCUGAACAAGGCAGUUAACCCACUGUUCCCCUGAACAAGGCAGUUAAUCCACUGUUCCUCUGAACAAGGCAGUUAACCCACUGUUCCCCUGAACAAGGCAGUUAAUCCACUGUUCCCCUGAACAAGGCAGUUAACCCACUGUUCCCCUGAACAAGGCAGUUAAUCCACUGUUCCCCUGAACAAGGCAGUUAACCCACUGUUCCCCUGAACAAGGCAGUUAACCCACUGUUCCCCUGAACAAGGCAGUUAACCCACUGUUCCCCUGAACAAGGCAGUUAAUCCACUGUUCCCCUGAACAAGGCAGUUAACCCACUGUUCCCCUGAACAAGGCAGUUAAUCCACUGUUCCCCUGAACAAGGCAGUUAAUCCACUGUUCCCCUGAACAAGGCAGUUAACCCACUGUUCCCCUGAACAAGGCAGUUAACCCACUGUUCCCCUGAACAAGGCAGUUAAUCCACUGUUCCCCUGAACAAGGCAGUUAAUCCACUGUUCCUAGGCCGUCAUUGAAAAUAACAAUUUGUUCUUAACCGACUUUCCUAGUUAAAUAAAAUUAGAGCAGUAAAAAUACAUGUUUUGUCAUAACCGUGAUAAAUGGUCUGAUAUACCAUGACUAUCAGCCAAUCAGCAUUCAGGACUGGAACCACACAGUUUAUAAAUAAUAAUAAAUCUGUUGUUACAUACUUGUUGUAGACAGUUUUUAAAUAAUGACCGUAACAUGUUAUCCUCCCCACUGCUGGUCCCUGAAGCGAUAGCUAAGAUGUUGGUCCGUUGUCAAUCAAUCAAAUAUAUUUUUAUCAGCUGAUGUCUCAAAGUGCUGUACAGAAACCCAGCCUAAAACCCCAAACAGCAAGCAAUGCAGGUGUAGAAGCACGGUGGCUAGGACAAUCUCUGUAUGUGUGUGUGUGUGUGUUUGUCUGUGUGUUUGUGUGUGUGU
Long non-coding RNA from Oncorhynchus keta (chum salmon), 1912 nucleotides. RefSeq lists it as uncharacterized. The transcript is spliced from 3 exons. NCBI's taxonomy places the organism in Eukaryota, Metazoa, Chordata, Actinopteri, Salmoniformes, Salmonidae. The record is from RefSeq and is a predicted model, not a curated record.